This 2816-nucleotide ribosomal RNA is filed under the name Klebsiella pneumoniae. RNAcentral describes it as "partial 23S ribosomal RNA". It matches the Rfam family "Bacterial large subunit ribosomal RNA". Lineage: Bacteria; Pseudomonadati; Pseudomonadota; Gammaproteobacteria; Enterobacterales; Enterobacteriaceae. The record is from RNAcentral.
GGUUAAGCGACUAAGCGUACACGGUGGAUGCCCUGGCAGUCAGAGGCGAUGAAGGACGUGCUAAUCUGCGAAAAGCGUCGGUAAGGUGAUAUGAACCGUUAUAACCGGCGAUGUCCGAAUGGGGAAACCCAGUGCAAUUCGUUGCACUAUCGUUAACUGAAUACAUAGGUUAACGAGGCGAACCGGGGGAACUGAAACAUCUAAGUACCCCGAGGAAAAGAAAUCAACCGAGAUUCCCCCAGUAGCGGCGAGCGAACGGGGAGCAGCCCAGAGUCUGAAUCAGCUUGUGUGUUAGUGGAACGGUCUGGAAAGUCCGACGGUACAGGGUGAUAGUCCCGUACACCAAAAUGCACAGGCUGUGAACUCGAAGAGUAGGGCGGGACACGUGGUAUCCUGUCUGAAUAUGGGGGGACCAUCCUCCAAGGCUAAAUACUCCUGACUGACCGAUAGUGAACCAGUACCGUGAGGGAAAGGCGAAAAGAACCCCGGCGAGGGGAGUGAAAAAGAACCUGAAACCGUGUACGUACAAGCAGUGGGAGCACCUUCGGGUGUGACUGCGUACCUUUUGUAUAAUGGGUCAGCGACUUAUAUUCUGUAGCAAGGUUAACCGUAUAGGGGAGCCGCAGGGAAACCGAGUCUUAACUGGGCGUUAAGUUGCAGGGUAUAGACCCGAAACCCGGUGAUCUAGCCAUGGGCAGGUUGAAGGUUGGGUAACACUAACUGGAGGACCGAACCGACUAAUGUUGAAAAAUUAGCGGAUGACUUGUGGCUGGGGGUGAAAGGCCAAUCAAACCGGGAGAUAGCUGGUUCUCCCCGAAAGCUAUUUAGGUAGCGCCUCGUGAAUUCAUCUUCGGGGGUAGAGCACUGUUUCGGCUAGGGGGUCAUCCCGACUUACCAACCCGAUGCAAACUACGAAUACCGAAGAAUGUUAUCACGGGAGACACACGGCGGGUGCUAACGUCCGUCGUGAAGAGGGAAACAACCCAGACCGCCAGCUAAGGUCCCAAAGUCAUGGUUAAGUGGGAAACGAUGUGGGAAGGCACAGACAGCCAGGAUGUUGGCUUAGAAGCAGCCAUCAUUUAAAGAAAGCGUAAUAGCUCACUGGUCGAGUCGGCCUGCGCGGAAGAUGUAACGGGGCUAAACCAUGCACCGAAGCUGCGGCAGCGACACUAUGUGUUGUUGGGUAGGGGAGCGUUCUGUAAGCCUGCGAAGGUGUGCUGUGAGGCAUGCUGGAGGUAUCAGAAGUGCGAAUGCUGACAUAAGUAACGAUAAAGCGGGUGAAAAGCCCGCUCGCCGGAAGACCAAGGGUUCCUGUCCAACGUUAAUCGGGGCAGGGUGAGUCGACCCCUAAGGCGAGGCCGAAAGGCGUAGUCGAUGGGAAACAGGUUAAUAUUCCUGUACUUGGUGUUACUGCGAAGGGGGGACGGAGAAGGCUAUGUUAGCCGGGCGACGGUUGUCCCGGUUUAAGCAUGUAGGCUGGUUAUCCAGGCAAAUCCGGAUAAUCAAGGCUGAGGUGUGAUGACGAGGCACUACGGUGCUGAAGUAACAAAUGCCCUGCUUCCAGGAAAAGCCUCUAAGCAUCAGGUAACAUCAAAUCGUACCCCAAACCGACACAGGUGGUCAGGUAGAGAAUACCAAGGCGCUUGAGAGAACUCGGGUGAAGGAACUAGGCAAAAUGGUGCCGUAACUUCGGGAGAAGGCACGCUGGUGUGUAGGUGAAGCCCCUGCGGGUGGAGCUGAGACCAGUCGAAGAUACCAGCUGGCUGCAACUGUUUAUUAAAAACACAGCACUGUGCAAACACGAAAGUGGACGUAUACGGUGUGACGCCUGCCCGGUGCCGGAAGGUUAAUUGAUGGGGUUAUCCGUAAGGAGAAGCUCUUGAUCGAAGCCCCGGUAAACGGCGGCCGUAACUAUAACGGUCCUAAGGUAGCGAAAUUCCUUGUCGGGUAAGUUCCGACCUGCACGAAUGGCGUAAUGAUGGCCAGGCUGUCUCCACCCGAGACUCAGUGAAAUUGAACUCGCUGUGAAGAUGCAGUGUACCCGCGGCAAGACGGAAAGACCCCGUGAACCUUUACUAUAGCUUGACACUGAACAUUGAGCCUUGAUGUGUAGGAUAGGUGGGAGGCUUUGAAGCGUGGACGCCAGUCUGCGUGGAGCCAACCUUGAAAUACCACCCUUUAAUGUUUGAUGUUCUAACGUUGGCCCCUGACCGGGGUUGCGGACAGUGUCUGGUGGGUAGUUUGACUGGGGCGGUCUCCUCCCAAAGCGUAACGGAGGAGCACGAAGGUUAGCUAAUCCUGGUCGGACAUCAGGAGGUUAGUGCAAUGGCAUAAGCUAGCUUGACUGCGAGCGUGACGGCGCGAGCAGGUGCGAAAGCAGGUCAUAGUGAUCCGGUGGUUCUGAAUGGAAGGGCCAUCGCUCAACGGAUAAAAGGUACUCCGGGGAUAACAGGCUGAUACCGCCCAAGAGUUCAUAUCGACGGCGGUGUUUGGCACCUCGAUGUCGGCUCAUCACAUCCUGGGGCUGAAGUAGGUCCCAAGGGUAUGGCUGUUCGCCAUUUAAAGUGGUACGCGAGCUGGGUUUAGAACGUCGUGAGACAGUUCGGUCCCUAUCUGCCGUGGGCGCUGGAGAAUUGAGGGGGGCUGCUCCUAGUACGAGAGGACCGGAGUGGACGCAUCACUGGUGUUCGGGUUGUCAUGCCAAUGGCACUGCCCGGUAGCUAAAUGCGGAAGAGAUAAGUGCUGAAAGCAUCUAAGCACGAAACUUGCCCCGAGAUGAGUUCUCCCUGAGACUUUAAGUCUCCUGAAGGAACGUU